GGAUUAGGCAUGCAAGUCGCACGAGAAAGGCUUCUUCGGAAGCCGAGUAAAGUGGCGAACGGGUGAGUAAUGCAUAGACAACUCGCCCUUGAGAUGGGGACAACGCCUCGAAAGGGGUGCUAAUACCCAAUGCCGCCUUGGGCCUGCGGGUCCAGGGUGAAAGGAGGCCUCUGAUUCAAGCUUCCGCUCAAGGAGAGGUUUAUGUCCUAUUAGCUAGUUGGCGGGGUAACGGCCCACCAAGGCUGCGAUGGGUAGCCGACCUGAGAGGGUGACCGGCCACAUUGGGACUGAGACACUGCCCAGACUCCUACGGGAGGCUGCAGUCGAGAAUCUUCCGCAAUGCGCGCAAGCGUGACGGAGCGACGCCGCGUGGGUGAUGAAGGCCUUCGGGUUGUAAAACCCUGUCAGCUACUACGAAACACGGGCGAUGAACAAUCGUCCCGUCUGACUUAAGUAGCAGAGGAAGCACCGGCUAACUACGUGCCAGCAGCCGCGGUAAUACGUAGGGUGCGAACGUUGUUCGGAAUCACUGGGCAUAAAGGGCGCGUAGGCGGUCUGAUAAGUCAGGUGUGAAAUCCCUCGGCCUAACCGAGGAACUGCAUUUGAUACUGUCGGGCAAGAGUACAGGAGGGGAGAGUGGAAUUCCUGGUGGAGCGGUGAAAUGCGUAGAUAUCAGGAGGAACGCCGGCGGCGAAAGCGACUCUCUGGCCUGUUACUGACGCUGAGGCGCGAAAGCUAGGGGAGCAAACGGGAUUAGAUACCCCGGUAGUCCUAGCCCUAAACGAUGGGCACUAAGUAGAGGGGUUUU
Molecule: ribosomal RNA, 808 nt
Filed under: uncultured Planctomycetota bacterium
Lineage: Bacteria; Pseudomonadati; Planctomycetota
Description: bacterial SSU rRNA
Rfam family: Bacterial small subunit ribosomal RNA
Source: RNAcentral